UACCAGAGGCGUACGGGGGAACGUGAAUGGUUGACCCUUCCCAAAUUCUACGCCACUGGCGGAAUUUCUAUUUUAGUUCAAUUCUUUGAUUUCCCAAUACUUUGUAUGUAAAUAACAUACUCUUCAUUUGAAGCUAAAAACGAAGUAGCAUAAUACAUUAAUCAAAAUAAGUGUGCCUUUUCAUUUUUAACUUCAAAUAUCUCGAAAACAAAUGACGUUAUUGUUACGAAUGAAGAGUAUAUUAUUUACAUAGAAAGUAUUGGAGAAUCUAAAAAUUAUGCUAAAAUUGCAGUUUCAUCUGUGGCGUAGAAUUUGGGACGGGUCAACCAUUCACUUUCCCCUGUCGUACGCCUCUGGUAUUAACCACAAACAAUUAUUUAACAUAAUUUAGUAGGGUGUAGAGUAUAUACACGUUCUGUCAAGUACCAUAUGGAUAUGUCAAAUAGUUUUAUAGGAGCGGGCACACAUAUGUAUUAAAGUUUUAAAUAAAAAAUAACUUAUUAAAAAAAAAGAAUAUUUAAAAUAAUUUAACAUAUUCGUGUGACACUUGGCAGAAAGUGUAGAUGAAACUUCUAUUUUAGCAUAAUUUUUAGAUUCUCCAAUACUUUCUAUGCAAAUAAUAUAUACUCUUUAUUCGUAACGAUAAAGUCAUUAGAUUUAGAGAUAUUUGAAGUUAAAAAUGAAAAGGCACACUUAUUUUGAUUAAUGUAUUAUGCUACUUCGUUUUUAGCUUAAAAUAUCUCGAAAACUAAUGGCUUUAUCGUUAUGGAUGAAGAGUAUGUUAUUUACAUAGAAUUGGAGAAUAAAAAAAUUGAACUAAAAUAGAAAUUCCUCCAGUGGCGUAGAAUUUGGGAAGGGUCAACCAUUCACGUUCCCCCGUCGUACGCCUCUGGUAGUAGCCAGAGACAUUUGUUUAACAUAAUUUAGUAGAUUGUACAAUACCAGCACCGCUUACCAAAUUUCGUGUUGUUGUCCCAUGCCUGUCAGGAAAUAUUCAAAAAUAAAUAAAAUAAAAGUUUAACUUUGACACCCUGUAUUUCGGUUAUUAUCAAUUUUUGUACUAAGGUAAGUUAGCUUAAAUCGACCUAUUUUAACUUCAGAAAUCUAAGGUUAAGUAAGCUAUGGCCGAUUCUUUACCAAACACCCUGUAUAAGGAUAAGGCUCUAACUGCUCUAGCUCGUAAACUAAAAGAGAUAAAACAUUUUUUCAAAUACAAUUUGUUCCUUCAAAAAAAAACCAAAAAAGAAAAUGGUGGUAUUAAACUUUAAUCCAAUAAUUAGAACUAGAGAUAUUGUAAAAUUAGUGCAAAAUGGUUGCAAAAGAAGUUUUUUUCGAUCGUAACUCCACUUCUGCGCAUACAAAUGAGCUUUACAAAGUCUCAUUUUAAAGUUUAACUUAGAGACUUUUAAAAACAAACUUUGUUAAACUCCGUUAUCUUUGUUUAUAUUAAAGUUAUAUUCGUUUGAAGUUGUAAUUUUCUUAAAGAAAUUGUAAAUAAUUUGAUUUAAACAAACAGUAACGAUAGAAAAACUCUAAAAGGAACAUUUUGAGCUUGGAAAAACGUUCGUAGAUUUAUUUUUGACCAAGCUAUCGAUAUUUUCAUAAUGCGCUCUGAGACGCAAGAUUAGCUCACAGCGAAAAGGUGCGCGAGCGAACCGCUCGAUACAAAUUUGUUGCUGUAAUUUGCUUAAAACCCUUAAAAAAAAUAAAUUAUUAAUUUACGAUCAAAAAAGCUUCGAAAAAUUCUUCUUUUGCAACCAUUUUGUACGAAUUUUACAAUAUCUCGAGUUCUAAUUAUUGGAUUAAAGUUUAGUAAACGAUAUUUUCAUGGUUUCUUUUGUUAAGGAACAUAUUUUAUUUGACACAUUUUUUACUUUCUUUUAGUUUACGAACUAGAGCUUUAUAAACACUUCAAUUGUUUAUAACAAUUGUGUGACUACUUCGAUCGAAAUUCACCCUCUAAAUUAUUCGUAAUCAGCAGCCAAAAAUACAUAUUUUGAAUAGCCCACGGUGAUCUAGCUGACUCCUGGACUAUUAAUCUUGAUAUAAAUUUACAUUUUCAAAUUCUGCAAAACCUCAAAAACUUUUUUACAAAGUUUGAUCAUUUUUUAUUUUAGAACAAAUGACUAUCUUCGAAAAAGAUUGAUUCUCAGAUUGCGAUUGAUGUUAAGGCAGUCGUAAAAAAUAGCAGAUUAACCAUUUUCUGAUAAGUUCCACAAUUUCAUCCCCCAACUUUUAAAUGAUAGCUUUAGUCUGGGAGCUGGUAAUGAUAGUACUAAUUUGGAAAUUUUUAUGAUGUGUUUGUUAAAUAAACGCGUAACAUGUUAGUCGAAGAGCUUAAGGAAAAGUAGGUAUGUAAUUACCAAAACUCGUAUUCUUUAAUAAUUCAUUUCAGUUUAAAACCGUUACAUGGAAAUAUAGGUAAUAGAGUAAGGAAUAAUAAUUUUAAAUCGGGAUGAGAUUAGAGAAUCAAACGUUUAAUGUGGAUUUCUUUGAUCAUUAUUCUUAAAUGUCUUAUUUGUACUCCUUUUACUAUUUACUUCAUGAAUAUUUUUUCAAAGAUUUGUUAGCUCUUUUGUAUAUAUAGUUUAUAGUUGCAAUGCAUUUUACAUUAUUCACAUACAUAUUUGGGAAUUUGUUAUUCGGCUGAAACAUAAACUCACAAGAGACACACCACAUCACGAAGAAUCAUCAUAAUUGCAGACAAAUCUUAUAAUGUAGGGCAUUCUAUGCCUACUAGGGACACAAUGCUUUUUCAGUCUGUAUUUGAUUUCAUAUCAUACCAGCAUGUAAUGUGAUUUCAAAGUCGUUGCCAAGACUAAAAUCCCUUCUUCUCAUUCCUUGAGCCCUUGUCAUGGUGUGGUGACAAUAGUGGUAUUAUUAGCUUGUUGUCUCUAUUGACUGCGAUCCUGUUCCAGAUGGUUUCAUGAAAGAAUUUUCCCACCAGAGUCUUCAUUUGGUAUACCCAUUGUUGCUUUCUGCACAGAGAUGGCCUCUAAAUACACAUUUGAUGCCACCAGAAGGGGAGGUUAGAUAAUAUGUAAGUUCAGUCUAGAACACGCUGGUUUUCCCCUUCGAAUUAACUGUAUACUAAUAUAUUAUACGAAGCAAGUGGACUGUAUUAUUCUAAUUAAGAUCAAGUAAAAUGAAACAGAAAAUAUCUCAAAAUACAAUCACGACAAAUAGAUACAAAUUAUGAAAAGCUAAGAAAAACCCUUUGACAAAAUUACAUAAAUAUUUCCCUUGACCUAAAACCAAAUCAGCUGUUACAAAUAUCGUAAAGGAAGUACAACAAUAAUUAUCUAAUAUUCUAAACAGCUGGCUGAGACGAUAAAAUCUCCGAAGCGAAUAUGAUACCUCAUAAACGGCAUUUUAAGAAAGAAUUAAUUGGUCACAAAAAUAUUAGGGCAUCAAGAACGUUAAAAAUAUAUCAAAACAAUAUUAAACUUCGGUUAGGUCAAUGGAACAUAGAAGAGUAUAUUUAAAAGAAAUUAUUAUAUUAUGAGCGUUUACUACGAGAAAGGCACCCUAUCAAAAUCAAUAAAAUCAUAAAAUCAAUAUAUGGAUAUAAAUAUGUCAAUAAAGUGUAAUGCUAAAUAAAACACAUGCAGUAAUUAUUAUAAUACGAUGCAACACAGAAAAAUAUAGAAUUAUGUUUAAAAUGAAUGUCUAUACGAUUAAAGACCCAAUGUCUUUGCAAAUUCGCGCACUUCGCGACGUUAAAAGUUAAUUGGAGGAAAAGGGUAUCUGAUUAUACCACACCAACGUAAAAUGUACUUUAAAACUUAUUUUGGUACCUUAAAACUCCUCUCAGGGAUGUACAAUGCAGCAGGAUUGCUAUAGUCUAUAGCGAGGACAUCACCUCCUAGCAGAGCAGCGCAGGAACGAUGAUGUCUGGAUCCCGUCAUGGGACGCAGGGUAGCCCUUUGCUACCAAACGAAGAACACCUUCUUCGCUCAACGAACUGUGCACAACUGAUUAAUGUUCCCCGCUGACUUUAAAUAAACACAUUUUUAGGGGGGUCUCUUCUUCGAUAUUGGAUUGGUACUCAAUUAAAGAAAAUUAGUUUUAGGGUUUAUUACCGAUUUUUUAUUAUUUCUGUUCCGUGGACGCAGUUACCAUAAUUUGAAUGAUGCCAUAUCGACACGUUCCCAAUAGUAAUAAACUAAUAAACCAAGUUGUAAUUAAACGUUCGUAUAUUUAUAGUUCAUAAAAGUUCAUAUAUUAGACGCGACACUUUUUUACGAUGUCUAAGAGCUAGCAACGUUUUCGAGAAAGUAUUUUAACUAUACGGGGAGAACCAUAAGUUAAAAGAAAAUUGCGGAACUGCAACACCCAUCGUGUUGGACAUCGACCUCUAGGUCCUUCUACAAUCAAUAGUUCCAUAGACCCCGUUUUUCUGGCUAUGUUGCCGAAGUAACAUAGCCAGAAAAAAACCAUAUAGUUUUCUUAACAGCCUUUCUAAACUCUUGACCGAUUCGUCUAUCCACCCACUUCUCGAAGGCUUCGAUCUUACUUCUAUUCAUUUUUUCUAGAGAAGAAAAAUAAGGGCAAUGACCAACUUGAGCUUAGUGUUUUGUUUGGCCAUGAGUCUUGAACUUUUGAUCAGUGACCAAACAUUACUAGUCUACGCCAUUGUUGAUUAUCAGGGAGCCCAAAUAUACAAAUAUGUCGUAUUACGUCGAAUUUCGCUACUUGGUGUAUGUAUGGGACGUUGAUUAUUAUUUGCCCCUCUACGAUCACUAUUUUACAUUUUCCGGUGUUGAUCUGAAGUCCUAAUUCCUUGUUUAUCUGGAGUAUUUCGUGGUUUAUCUUAAGGCGGAUAUACAUAUGCGCUCUGCUCGGUGUGCGAGCCGCUCGCGCGCAGCGUAUUCGUCAGAUUAGUACGUGUUUUCAAGUGACGCACAAACGGCACGCACACGGCGCACCACGAUAUAAAUUCUGUCGGUUUUUCAACAAACGCUUUGAUGGUUCGCAAUACGUAUUUGGACGGGUUUGCGAGUGGUUUGUUGGUUUUGGCGCGCAUGAGUUGAAUAUUUGUUAGUAAUGGAAUGGUCGGAACUGUCGGAAGGAAAUAUCUAACUUACUGAUGUUUACCGUGGAAAAUCAUUAUAGUGGGAUCCUCAAUAAAGAACCAUUUAAUUUAAAGAACAACUUAAAUCCGAUCUGAACGGAAAUAGAAGCUGAAAUAAAAAAAAUGUACAUGCGGACCUUUUUAAAAAAUGUUAGUUCAUUGUUGUACUAAAAAUAACAUUUAUUAAAAAUAAGAUUUACUAUUUUAUUUGGGCAUAAGCCACAAUUCGAGUUUGAAAUCAAGUUUACUUGACCUUUCGACUUUCACUUCGGAAAUAGUUAUCAAUAUCAAAAAAACAUUCAUAAGCAGAUAUAUAUUAUGUGUCACCGGAAAGCGAAAUAGGUAACGCACGACUUGGAGAACCUAUAGUUUUCUAACUUCGUGUCUGGUGAAGCAACGCAGUUGAAACAAGCGGAUAUAUUAUAAUUGUGUCACCGGAAAGCGAAAAAGGUAAGGCACAACUUGGAAGACCCAAUAAUUUUCUAACUUCGCUUCUGGUGAAGCAACAGAGUUGGAACAAGCAGAUAUAUUAUAAUUGGGUCACCGGAAAGCCAAAAAGGUAACGCACAACUUGGAAGACCCAAUAGUUUUCUAACUUCGCUUCUGGUGAAGCAACGGAGUUGGAACAAGCAGAUAUAUUAUAAUUGGGUCACCGGAAAACAAAAAAGGUAACGCACAACUUGGAAGAGCCUAUAGUUUCCUAACUUCGCUUCUGGUGAAGCAACGGAGUUGGAACAAGUGGAUAUGUUAUAAUUGUGUCGUCGGAAAGCGAAAAAGGUAACGCACAUCUUGGAAGAGCCUAUAGUUUCCUAACUUCGCUUCUGGUGAAGCAAUUGAGUUGGAACAAGCAGAUAUAUUAUAAUUGGGUCACCGGAAAGCCAAAAAGGUAACGCACAACUUGGAAGACCCAAUAGUUUUCUAACUUCGCUUCUGGUGAAGCAACGGAGUUGGAACAAGUAGAUAUGUUAUAAUUGUGUCGUCGGAAAGCGAAAAAGGUAACGCACAUCUUGGAAGAGCCUAUAGUUUCCUAACUUCGCUUCUGGUGAAGCAACUGAGUUGGAACAAGCAGAUAUAUUAUAAUUGGGUCACCGGAAAGGGAAAAAGUUAACACAGGGCUUGGAAGAACCUAUAGUUCCCUAAUAUCGUUUCUAGUGAAGCUACGCAGUUGAAACAAGCAGAUACAUUACAAUUGUGUCACCGGAAAACGAAAAAGGUAACGCAUGACUUGGAAGUACCUAUAGUUCUCUAAUUUUGUUUCUGGUUGUAGGAACAAGCAGAUAUAUUAUGGUAGGGGAGCAAAGUAUGCUAAAUGUGCAAUCACUCGAGUGCUUUGGGGACCUAUUGGGUUGUGAUUAUUAGGUCCUAAAACCAAAAAAGUUAAGUAAAAUUUUCCAUUUUAGUGGGGACUUCCCAUUUUUUAAUUUAAUUUUCCAUUUCCAACAAUCUGUUUUCCGAUUAUAGCGCCAUCUAUCCAUAAUUCAAAAAAAUGUUUCGAAUAAAAGUUGUUUAUUUUUAUACAAACAAUCCAAAUCUGCAAUAAGAAACGGCGUCUACCAUUUAAGAUUUUAAAGUAACCCCCCACCUCUCCUCCGUGGGGGGUCGUGUUUGGAACCAUUCGAUAGAUUUUUCAAAAAUAUUGAUAAAGUGUAUUUUGCAGUUUUUCGAUAUGAUGUUUAAUUUGCGAAAGAUCGCGGGAUUUGUAUUUAAAAUUUUAAAUUUACCCCCCACCCCUCUCCGUGGGGGGUCAAGUUUGGUAUUUUUCGAUAGAUUUUUGAAAAAUAUUGAACACGUAGUUUUUAGUUUUUCAAUCUGACGUUCAUUUCGCGAAAUAUUCGCUUUUUUUUGUGAAACUUUUUGACUCACCCAUUUCCGUACGCCCCGCUCAAAUCGUCAUAUUUUUGAAAUAUAGACUCUUUUGCAUGUAUUUAACUUACCUUAUCUUAAUCUGACAAUUUCGAGUAUUUUUAUGGAUAGAUUUUUUUCGGGCCCCCCUGAACGAACUCCUCUGUGUUAAGAGCCAAUAUAUGGUGGAGGUACAUCUGCAGGGUACCGCGUUUCUCCCCAUAUGAUAAUCUGACGCGCUCGAGUAACUGAAAAAAUCCCAGCUUGGGCUCCCCUACCAUUAUAUUUGUGUUGCCGGGAAGCGAAAAAGGUAGUUCCCGAAAUGUUCCCAAACUGUGGCUUAUUCCACAUAAAAUAGUAAAUUGCAUAAGAUGACACAAGAAAAUAGUUUCAGAACAAUACCAAAAUAAGAUGUAGUAGAAGUACAGGACAGAUACAUGAUUAUCUACAAUUACUAAACGUUCGUAAGUUUCCUCUGGAUCGUCAAAAUGAAAAAUUUUAACGAACAAUAACCGCGCCACGAACGCGCGGCGCACACACAGCGCGGAGUUCGCGGCGCGGAUAUCUAUCUCCGCCUUUAGACGUUCGGUGAUAGUAGUCAUUUCGACUUCAUUCGGUAGUUUCGGUUUUUGGUGUUUUCUUGUCCCUUAUUAUGAUGAUUACCCGGUAAUUUAAAUACUUAUUACUUCAUGUUAUCAUUUUCUUCAAUUUCCUGAGUUGAACAUUUUUAUGUAUAUCGACUGUAAGCUCUGCUUUGGCUGUUUAGUUUGGUGUUUGCUUUUUUAGUACUUAUUAGAAAUUUCAGAAACUUCAGGCCGAUACCAUUAGUAUUAAAUAAUUUCUAGUAACCGUCAUAAUAAUUAAAAAUUAAUGUACAUAUUUGUUUAAAGGUACGGUUUAUAAAUGAUGCAAAGGAUCUAAAUGCAUAAUCAAUAUCACAUCUCAUAAAAAUAGUCAAUAUCCUAACCAAACGAGACACUACUUAUGAUUACAUAAAAAAGUCGUACCUAUUCAUGAACUCAAAAAUCUUUAUUUUUCUUUUGUGUAACUAUAAAAGGUAUUUUAGGCAAUAAAAUCGUAUUAAAAUUUAUAACGAACACAUUUAAAAAUUUCCCGCCGGCUCCCGUUCUAUAUUGUACAGAACAUUUUGUGUAAAUAAUUAAAUUAAAUAGGGCUAUAUGUAGACGUAUCGACGUACUAUAAAAAACUUUAUUCAAGCAACUUGGACUGAUUAAUUAAUGCUUUUAAGAUGAAGCUUGUUGUUAAUUGUAGAAUAAAAUAACUCUUACUAGAAUAAACAAACAAUGUAUUGUAGUACAAUUACCAUUAAACUUGCCGAGUUUACUUUUUACAUAAGAUAAACAAAUACCACACUAUUUACAUUUUCCGAUCUUUUUUUUGUUACUUUUAAACGAGAUUCCGGCCUUUCUGAUUGUGUAUGAGUGGCAUUUUGGUUGAAAGUGAUAGUGAAGACAAAUAUUACAAAGUUCGGUAUAUUGGCAAUACAGUUUUUGUAUUUGUGCCAAAAUCUUGUAUUGUUGCUGUUAAUUUUGAAAAAUAUUUUGGGAUGCGAACGUUUUUGAAUAAUUUAUAUAGAAAAUACAAAUUGUGUGACCUUUCAUUCCAUAACUUCAUUUUAUUGCGUACAUAACAAGGUAAAAAUAUAGAUUCUAUCCAUGAAAACGCUUUUUAUGGAUCUACCUAGUCCAGGAUAUAAAUUUUUGAAUAUUUCUCCCUUUACUUUUUUCUUUUUUAAAUUUCAGACAUGGAGUUCAACAUAAAAUUCAACGGCGCAAAUUUCCUGGUUGCGAAAUUUAAGGGAGUGGUACGGGUGCAGUUCAAUACAAUUGUUCAGAGCUGCAGACAAUAAAGUUAAGAUUGCUGUGAUGGUACCCAACCUCCGACAGGAGACGGUACUGCAAGAAGAAGAAGACUUCCAAUCAGGACCCCUUUGUUAGUGACGUGUUCUGUCCAUGAUAUUUUCAGAAUUCUUCUAUACACGCACAACUCAUAUGAUUAGUUUUUUCAUUGAUGCCGCAUUCAAGGUCUAAGCUUCCAUUCCGUAAAACAAAGUCGAGAAAACGUAGCACCUAGCCAACCUUACUCUUAGCUCUAACUUCAGAUCUCUUGUACAGAGCACUUUUCUCAUUAGGGACAGACCUAGGUCAACCAUACAAUCAUAAAACCUCCAAACAUCGUAAGUCCCCUCUGUCAUAAUAUGAUGGCAUCAAAUUUUUAAAGAGUAAAGCUGCAAUAAAGGAUUUUCUGGCCUCUCCAGAGAUCACCUGGAAAUUUAUUCCUCCUCACGCCCCUCAUCAUGGUGGAGUCUUGGAAAGCGCAAUUUAAAAGUGCAAAGAACCAUCUCCAGAGGCUCAUUGGCAACUUAAUGCUCAGUUUCGAAGAAUUUUUCACGGUAUCGACCCAAAUAAAGGCUGUCCUCAAUUCUCGACCCCUCUGUGCCAUGUUCAACCAGCCUGGGGAUCUGCCAGCUCUUACAUUCGGUCAUUUUUUUUAAAUGGCAAACCCCUCAUCUCUUUUCCAGAAGUCAAUAUAAAUGAAAUAUGUACCAUCAUAUAGAUUAAACCUCUGCGAAAAAAAUUGUAUUAUAAUUCGUUAGAAGGACCAUAAGGCCAGUAUUAUACUAGGCAACUGGUGACGCCACCAAGUUGCUCCACCAGUGACAAGACCACUAUAGACUACGGUAACUAGUUGCGCCACCAGUUGCCCAUAUCGGCCACCAGUUGUCCAUAAUAUUUUGUGUGCUUUAACGGUAAUGGCCUUAGACUAGGUAACUGGUGACGCAACUAGUGGCGGAACUGGUGGCGCAACUAGUGGCUCCACCAAAUUAAAGCACACAAAAUAUUAUGGGCAACUGGAGGCCGAUAUGGGCAACUGGUGGCGCAACCAGUUACUAUAGUCUAAUAGGUCUCAUUUACUUAAAUGCCCCGUGACGUAAUGAGUCACUGGUGGAGCAACUUGGUGGCGUCACCAGUUGCCUAGUAUAAUACUGGCCUAAAGGAAAAGCAGGUGUUCAUCCACGAAUUUCCUGUUGGACAGCAAACGUCACGACCUGUCAUAUUGGAUUUACUCACAUGAUUGUGGUUGUAGGUUGCUGCUUCUCUUAUUUGUCUCUUGUGGGGAUAACAUUAUACACUGCACUUUUCUUUACUAUUUUAUUAACAAUACAGACACUCUACACUUGGUUAAAAUUACUUUGCUGUUGGAUACUACGGAACGUAAGAAACGUAAAACUAAACAGUUUUAGUGAUAUAUCAAAUAUGGCAAGUGAUCAUCUUGUUGCACUCCGCGUACUUAUUCACUUCCUUACCUUUUUUUUCGUGAUAUAAGUUUGGUUCUUUCGCUCUUAAAAUAGAUUACUGUUCUAAACAAUAUCUUCGUAUAGAAAUCCUAAUAUAUUUUUUUACUCUACCUUGUUACAUCCACCGAUUUAAUAAAGAUAGGAACAGAAAUCUGUAAAAUUUGUAAACUUUUCUUGUUAGGUAACUAGGGUUCCUAAACCCGAUUUCCCGAAUAUAUCAAAAUUCCUUUUACAUUCUUGUCGUGUCAAACCAACUUCCUUUUAUCUCGUUGGUCGUUGGUUAAUGAUCUAAUUACUUUUGUUUUUUCGAGGUUGUACAUAAGUGUACUUGUAAUUCCGUCGUCGCUGAAUAAAACAAUGCCAGCAAAUCAAAAAUGAUGGAUCAAUCAUGUUUAAACCCAUGUCCUAUCAACCUAACCUUUUCUUUCCAUUGAAACUUCAUUAUUUUUAAGGUCGUCAUUAAUAUCAACAAAAUGAGAAACAUACCUUUUUAUUGUACAUACAUGCAUUUAAUUUACUAGGUUAUAGUCCUGGAGCCCACCAUUAAAAAAAUAUAUUGCAUACCUUUUUCGGAAAAUUUUCAGGAGGGAGUGUUUCGUAAAUAUAGAAGUUUCUAAACUUGGAUGUGUCGAACAACUAGAGUACCCUUAAAAAUUUGUCAGACAAUAUUCAGUAAAUUGUAAGUAUUUUGUCAAACAAUCCUGCAAAAGUUCAUCAUUUAUGAGUCCAUAAUCCGCCCCCAUAGGGGGGGGGGACGCACUCAUCAUAAAGAGUCAUAGAAUUUAUACCCUCACAGCUGAAUUUUGCAGGAUUGUUUGAUAAAAAUAUUUACAAUUAAGUGGUAAUAUUGUCCGACAAAUUUUUAAGGGUAAUUCAGUUGUCGGACGCACCGAAGUUUGGAAACCUUUAUAUUUACGAAAAGCUCCCUCUCGAAAAUUUUCCGAAAUAGAAAAAAUGUCCGACUCGAUAUGAAUAACUGAAUAAAACAGUCUCAUGAUGAGGGAGGUAAUAUUUUUUUUAAUGGUGGGCCCAAAACUAUGUACUCAGCGAAUUACUUAUAUGCAAUUUUAAAAUGUUCACUUUCGUAUUUAAAGUCGAAAGUGAAUAACUGAACUAAUCAUUAACAAAAAAAAAACAAGCAAAACUGAACUUUGUAAUAUUAAAAUAAUUGUAGCCUGUGAUAUAGAUCUUCUUUCUCGAACAUUCUUAUUGAUUUCUACCUAUCUUGAACUUUCUCAUUACCGAAAGAUUUACACUGACAUCGUUGUGUAAGAGGUACUGUUAGAUACUUGUAGGAUAGUUGUUAAUAUGCAUAGCAUAGUAUUUGUUGUUUAUUUUGAAUAAAAUUUAUUUUUGUAUACAAUGUAUGUUAAAUUUUUCUUAGAAAGGAAAGACUAUUUGUGGAAUGUUGAAUUUUGUAAUAAACAAGUAUGUAUUUUUCUUGGUAGAGCUAGAUUUAUACCAUGACCAUAAUUUUAAUACACAGUAUGUCGCAAAAGUAUGGAAUAAAUUUAUUAUUUUAGAAACAGACGAAUAAAAAAAAACUUAAAACCCAUCAAUUUUAAUUUUUAAAUUGUCAUUAAUUGAUAUGUGUGUUAGACAAUAUGUCAUCAAUGUUGGCGUAAUGGCGUAAUCGAUGAUUUCAUUUACUAAACUAAAUUACGUUAGAAAAGAAUUUCUAAGUUCAUUGCAAUGAUAAACCAACAGUUUUGGUUAACGUUAUCAAAAUGAAUAUUCAAAUAAUUGCAUCGCAGCAAAGCGGAUUAGGAGACCUUUCAAAUGAGGUAUCCCGUGACUUCGCUUUGUAUUUAAAAAAAUCUUCGAUUACGUCAUUACAGCUUGUCAAGUAUACGGUGAUACUUGGCCACACUUGCGUAGAAAAAUAAGUGGGAACGCAUUCGGUGAAUUGUGUUUCUGUUGACUGCGCAUCCUAGGUGGAGCAUAAUAUCAAUAAGGCCAAGUAUGAUCGUAUAUUUGUCAGACUGUACGCCAAUUCUGAUGACGUAAUGUACAAAACAUAGCAACUGAUGAACAUUCAAACAUUAAAAGUGACGUGUUUAAGAUUUUUUUAAAAUUGUCUGUUUUUGAAAUAAUUUAUUUAUUCCAUACUUUUGCGACAACUUUAUCUGUUGGUUUAUGUACUUGUGUAUUUUAACGUCUAUGAUCGUUUUACUUACAGUUUUUCUGAGAAUCGUACUUUUCAACAGCUCAACCAUUGGUUAUGUCAAAAGUUUAUGUUUAUUUAAAUAGUUAUGGUAUUUAAUGUAGCUCUCGAAUACAGUGGAUUAUAAAUCUUAAUUACACAAUAUACUGCUAGGUGAUUAGCUAAACGAACUUAAUUAUACAAGAUUCACUAUUUCAAUAGUUAUUCCGCAGUAUAAUGCUAAGUAAUCAGUAGAUCACUCCGCGAAAAUUCUUUGUUCUCAUGUUCCAUUUUGGUGAAGACGCAUCAAAAGUUUGGUCCUUCUCGCAGAUGAAUGACAGCUAACGGCAUACUGCGUUUGACGUGAUUGGUCGUUAUCGUAGCGCAUUCAAAAUUUUUUCUCAGGAGUGGAUUGUAAAAUUGAAACUGUCAAAUUUUGAGAGUGAACUAACUGAUUCUUUAUCAUGAAACUGUGGUUAUACCGUUGUUUCAUUUAAAGAGAGUAUCGUUUUCGAAUAUUUUAUUUAAGUGAUAUUAUUAGACUUUGUUUAAUAGUUUCCCAACGUUGUUUAUGGUUUAUUCUCUACUGUAAACUAGCAGUACCUUUGAAAUUGUUGAAAUGUGGACAUAGUGCAAUACCUUUCAAAAAAAUCAGUUGUAGAAUAGAUGUGUUAACUGUUGGACUAAUAGUUUUGUUUUAUUAGAAUAGAUUUUGGUGCAAUUUCAUCACCAUUUACAACAGGAUUGUAGAUGGGAUUCAGAGCCUGAACUUGGUACAACUCUUCGAUAUUUUUUUACAAAGUUUUCCAGAAAGUUAGUGUAAAUCUUUUCGGUGAUGCUUAAAUGUAUAGAACUUAAAAGUUUUUGGUGGUUUUGUUUAAAGUGGCAUUUUGUUAUAAAUAUACUAAACAUUAUGGAUAUGAAGAGAGCCUAUAAAUAUCUUCGAAAAUAAUUUAGGUCAUUAACUGUGAAAUUUAUUCAUUUUUAUAUCCAAUAAAGUUAUUCCAAGAUAACUAGAAUCGUUUAACGAAUUCUAUUUGAAGUAAAUAUGGACACUAACAUGGCUAUUUUGACUUUGUUGACAGCUGCUCUAAGAAGUCCGCUAGUGGUCACAGUAAACCAUUUUCGUAGGUUAUGCAACCAUUAUUCUUCUUCCUGAACCUCUUUUUCCAUGUACUACCUUGAAGUAUGGUCCAAGGUAAGUCGUAACAUGGUUCCAUUAUGAAUUUAUUCAUACUCCAGGUAUUCCAGUUUGCGACAUUUUAUGAUCAUGACUAGAUCGUGCUCUUCACCCAUUCUGUGAUGAACUUCUUCGUUGGUUAUUUUGUCUAUCAAGGAAAUUCUCAAUAUGUUUACAGUACCACAUUUUAAAUGCUUCGAGUCUAUUCAGUGACACUUUAGUUAAGGCCCAUGACUCCACUCGAUGUAAAAGAAUGGAAAAUACGAAGCAUCUUGGUAAACGAACCUUGGAACGAACAUCUUGAAACUUUAUAUCGUGUCUGUUUUUUUCAAUCGUUUUUCAUUUUGAUGACGACUGAUUUUGAUGACGACUGAUCUUUCAUUCUCGAUCCUUAUCUUAAUAUCCAUUGAAUUCUUCAUUGUUCAUUUAAAUUUUUACCCAAAUACGAGUAGCAAAAACACAGCAAAGAUACAGCAAGGUAAAAUUGAAAAAUCAUCAAAAUUGAUUUUUCGCAUUUUUGCAUAAAAUUUGAGUUUUGAACAUGUUCCACCAACUCUAGAUAAAAAAAAACUUCAUAUUCCGGUUCAGCGACCUCGAAAACAUAAAGAAUGACCAAAAUGGGUCAUUCACCUUAAAGUUGAUUUUCGUGUUCGGUAUUACGUAAUUUUAGGGGUUGCUGCCGCUCGCCUAUUUGUGGAUGCCAAGAAAAAUAAGAACCAGUAGUCUUAUUAUAAUAUUAGAUAGACUUUUCGACUAGACGUUUAAGGCACUGCGUAAUAAUAUGGUCAUUUGUUCCGCGACCCGAUCGAAACUUUGUUUCUGGUAGAAAUCGAGUCUUAUUUUUAAUCUAUUUGCCAAUUUGCGAGUAAAAAGCUUGUAUAUGAAUAAAUAACUAUCUAUGGUUUAGUAAGCUAAUGAGCCUAUAGUUUUCAAGAUCAAAUUUUCUCCUUGUUUUGUGAAGGAUUAUAACCGAACUUUUCCAUUAUUUGGAAUGUUUUCGUUUUUGUCUUCUCCUUCUUAUAACCGUCUGCUUUCAAAAGUUGGCUUUCCAAAUGGGAAUUAUAGCUUUGAUAAAGUGGUCAAACCUCAGGUCUUUCAGCCUAGCCUUCCUACUGAUUUUUAUCACUGUACUUUACCUUCCAAUGUGAUUCGAAGUAAUUCAUAUCUUUCACCUCUCAACACAUGACUAAAGUAUUGUAUUUUCCUCUUUCGAUUAUGCUUACUAAUUCUUUUUUUUUACUCAUACGCCGAAGUACCUCAUAGUUAGUAACUUUUUGUACCCUUGCAAUUCUCAGUUUCUAUGUCUACUUGACGGAAACUAUCAUAAAUAUGUAUAUUAUUAUAGUACGUACUUCAUAUUUCAGGGAGUCAUCAGCAUCAUCAUUCAACCUCUUCCGUUCACUGCUGGACAUACGUCUCUCCCGCGUUUUUCGCCACUCUUCACGGUUCUGUGCGUUUUGUGGCUAUUUCUUGGACAUUUGUAUAAUGUCGUUUAUCCAGCAUAUUGGUGAUCGUCCUCUGCUGCGUUUAUCUUCUCUUGGGAGCAGUCAAUUAGUUUUCUGGUCCAUCUUGAGUGUUUUAGCCUCGCUAUGUGACCUGUCCAAUUCCAUUUUACCUUGGCUAUGCGUUUGACGAUAUCAGUGUCUUUUCCUCAGGUCUUGAUUCCUUAUUUUGUCUUUUUUUGUCACGCCGAGAAUCGAUCUUUCCGUGCGCAUUUGUGCGACUCGCAUUUUUAGCGCUGUUGUUUUUGUGAGCAUGAGAAUUUCUGCUCCGUAUGUCAUACCUUAAUAGGAAGAACGCAUGUUGCUCUUAAAGAUGUCUCUUAGUAACUUUAUUUAAAUUGAAAGGAGGGUUAGGUUAGGGAGUAACUUUAUUUAAAAUGAAAGUUAUAGAUAAUUCAAACUAUAGUAUUAAGUAGUAUUAAGGAUCUCUUUAUUUCUAUAUCAGUAAAAAAGAAUGCUACUUUAAAAUCUCAAGAUUUUUAUAUUAAUUUGUACGUAAGAGGUGAAUCAUAUCAUUUAAAAUUCGCGCGAAUGAAGCAUUUUUUGUCGGAAUGGGUGUAGUUUACGUAAUUUAUAAAAAAAUAAAAUGUUUAUAAUAACUCGUAAGUAGACUAAGUGUACAUGUUUCGUACUUGUAUGAUGUAGAUUUUACUCGAAAGCUCUCUCAAAGCCGAAUUAUACUUGAAUGUACUAUAAACUCUUAGGUACCACUAUGAUAUAGUGUUACUUUUGCUUUGAUGCCAUGUUUCUUAACUGUAUAACCUUAUAAUAUGUAUUGUACAGACUGUCUGAACUGAAUAAAUAUUCUUUGGAAAA
Long non-coding RNA from Diabrotica virgifera virgifera (western corn rootworm), 15876 nucleotides. RefSeq lists it as uncharacterized. NCBI's taxonomy places the organism in Eukaryota, Metazoa, Arthropoda, Insecta, Coleoptera, Chrysomelidae. The record is from RefSeq and is a predicted model, not a curated record. The transcript is spliced from 2 exons.